RNAcentral lists this non-coding RNA (71 nucleotides) under Ctenophora environmental sample. The record is from RNAcentral. Lineage: Eukaryota; Metazoa; Ctenophora.
GAGAGAGAGAGAGAGAGAGAGAGAAUGAAAAGAUAGGUUUGUUUGUUUUCUUGUUUUGUUUUUUGUUUGUU